UGAACGCUGGCGGCGUGCCUAAUACAUGCAAGUCGAGCGAACAGAUAAGGAGCUUGCUCCUUUGACGUUAGCGGCGGACGGGUGAGUAACACGUGGGUAACCUACCUAUAAGACUGGGAUAACUUCGGGAAACCGGAGCUAAUACCGGAUAACAUUUGGAACCGCAUGGUUUUAAAGUGAAAGAUGGUUUUGCUAUGACUGAUAGAGGGACCCGCCACGUAUUAGCUGGUUGGUAAGGUAACGGCUUACCAAGGCGACGAGACGUAGCCGACCUGAGAGGGGGAUCGGCCACACUGGAACUGAGACACGGUCCAUGCUCCUGCGGGAGGCAGCAGAAGGGAACCUGCCGCAAUGGUCGAAAGCCUGACGGAGCAACGCCGCGUGAGUGAUGAAGGGUUUCGGCUCGUAAAACUCUGUUAUUAGGGAAGAACAAAUGUGUAAGUAACUGUGCACGUCUUGACGGUACCUAAUCAGAAAGCCACGGCUAACUACGUG
Molecule: ribosomal RNA, 495 nt
Filed under: uncultured bacterium
Lineage: Bacteria
Description: partial 16S ribosomal RNA
Rfam family: Bacterial small subunit ribosomal RNA
Source: RNAcentral